UAUAGUUUGGGAAGAGAGUUGGGAGGUCGUGGGUUGGUACUGGUGGGUUCUCUGGUUCGAGAGGGAAUUUGAAAUGCAACGGUGGAGUUGGGCCGUGAUAAGGUUUUAGAAAGGAGAUGUGGAAGACUGGAUGGAUACAUGAUGACGAGGGAAGGAAAAGUUCAUAUGCCACUUCAUUGAUGCGACAUUUAAUGGGAUAGAGACCAAAGAAUCUUUGUCCAAGCUUAUUGUGAGUCUUGGACGAGAGUGAUGUUUGGCAGUAAGCUUGCCGUCGGAGAAGUACCCAGUCGUUUUCCCUGAAAUUGUAAUCAAGUCUUGAUUUGUUUGUUGAUUCUGCCAUUCUUUGUUGUGUUGUUUUCAGCGUGGCUUUUAAUUGCUGCAGCAUUCGCGCACGCUCCUGUAAUGUGGUAUCCAGUGUUGGUUCUGCGGCAGUUCCUGGAACGUAAUCUGGAAUGGAAGGAGGCGAUCGUCCAUCCAGAGCCUAGAAGGGUGUAAUUUUGAUGGCCGAGUGGUGUGAGGAGUUGUACCAAAACUCCGCAAGGUACAAAUAGCAAUACCAUGUUCGUGGAUUUUCGCUGGUAAAGCACCUAAGGUAAGCUUCUAAACAGCGAUUUAUAACUUCGGUUUGACCGUCAAUUUGGGGGUGAACUUUAAUUUUGUGCCUUGCAGAUGAAACAACUCAUUCCAAACACGGCUCUGGAACACUGGAUCACAGUCUGGAAUGAUGGAUUUAGGGACUCCAUGUAACCUGCAAAUUUCAAUAGAAAAACGGUUAGCUAAAUGGGUGGCUGUGAAGGACGUGGGAAGGCCGAUGAAGUGGGCUGAUUUGGACAGCCUGUCACAGACAUGUUGAACCAAGUGGUGUUCAAGCUUUGAAGAAUCCAAACUCUUUGAAGAAUGAUGAAGGCUGGUUGUGCUUGUUGUUGCUGUGUUGUCUUUUAGAUAGGAUCUGGGGUAGAUUUAAUAUGUAAUCAACUCUUGAUUGAAUCCAAAGCAUAAACACUCUCAAUCCUUUUAAAAGAAAAGUGUUUUUCAAACUAAGUGAAAAACAACCUGUUGUUUUGUCGA
This 1068-nucleotide long non-coding RNA is filed under the name Phaseolus vulgaris (common bean). Its description in RNAcentral is "long non-coding RNA (PVUL_LNC000304)". Lineage: Eukaryota; Viridiplantae; Streptophyta; Magnoliopsida; Fabales; Fabaceae. The record is from RNAcentral.